RNAcentral lists this ribosomal RNA (468 nucleotides) under uncultured bacterium. Its description in RNAcentral is "partial 16S ribosomal RNA". It matches the Rfam family "Bacterial small subunit ribosomal RNA", at positions 28 to 507 of the family's 1533-position model. The record is from RNAcentral.
GACGAACGCUGGCGGCGUGCUUAACACAUGCAAGUCGAACGGAAAGGCCCUGCUUUUGUGGGGUGCUCGAGUGGCGAACGGGUGAGUAACACGUGAGUAACCUGCCCUUGACUUUGGGAUAACUUCAGGAAACUGGGGCUAAUACCGGAUAGGAGCUCCUGCUGCAUGGUGGGGGUUGGAAAGUUUCGGCGGUUGGGGGUGGACUCGCGGCUUAUCAGCUUGUUGGUGGGGUAGUGGCUUACCAAGGCUUUGACGGGUAGCCGGCCUGAGAGGGUGACCGGCAACAUUGGGACUGAGAUACGGCCCAGACUCCUACGGGAGGCAGCAGUGGGGAAUAUUGCACAAUGGGCGGAAGCCUGAUGCAGCAACGCCGCGUGCGGGAUGACGGCCUUCGGGUUGUAAACCGCUUUCGCCUGUGACGAAGCGUGAGUGACGGUAAUGGGUAAAGAAGCACCGGCUAACUACGUG